Molecule: long non-coding RNA, 458 nt
Organism: Branchiostoma floridae (Florida lancelet)
Lineage: Eukaryota; Metazoa; Chordata; Leptocardii; Amphioxiformes; Branchiostomatidae
Exons: 2
Source: RefSeq, a predicted model, not a curated record
UCGGCGAAAACGAUGAUGAUGAUUUGCGAGCGAGGAAAAAAACCGCAUGCAAGCGCGAGAGAACAAAUCACCGCGGGGGAAAGAAAAUCGCAUGCAAACGCGAGAGGUGAUACUGACCGCUGACGUCACGCCCCCUCAGACGUGAACAGGAUUGCUUCAGCCACUGGUCCGCUACAACAUGCAACACUCAGAUGGAGCACCUUCAUGGGAAAAGAAGCAGAACUUGGUCCAUGAGAGAGUAAACGGGGAGAAACCAGACCUGGUCCCAGCCAACAGGACAUGGAUUGUAACCAGCUUUGCAAAUUUUGAUACAAUUGUAAAAUUUCUGAGAUUUUAUUGGCAAGAUAACAAUUCAAAAUGUAUAUCAUUUCAGCCGGCAUCAGUUUUUGUACGUACAGAAAUGCAAUUUUGUGAGGCAUGUGUAACGUUUCAAGUAUCUAUUAAAGCUGUCAAGAAGA